Long non-coding RNA from Macaca fascicularis (crab-eating macaque), 2292 nucleotides. The record is from Ensembl. NCBI's taxonomy places the organism in Eukaryota, Metazoa, Chordata, Mammalia, Primates, Cercopithecidae.
GGGACGGGCGCGCAGUAUUGUCCGCUACGCAGCUCGGGAUCCGGGUCGGGUUGUCGGCUGGGUUGCUGCCGGGCGCUGUAGCGCGUUGGCCACCCAGCAUUGAGCUGCCCGCGGCUGUUCUCCCUAAGCACCCUCGCUCACGUUGCCUCGCCUCGCCUGACCGGCCGCAACCUUCGAGACCAGCUUUAAAUCGAGCCGACGACUGCCCGGCCCCGCCCGCGGGGGAGGUGCGUGGGGUUCGGUGCCAGCCGCUCUCCCUGGCCGGGCCAGCCUCUUGAUGCACCGGGAACGGGCGCGCCCAUCCGAUUCGAGGGGCGGCCGGGCCCCAUCUGUGUCUUUCGCUCCCGAGCCCCCAGCUAGAGUUGGCUUCAGCGGAAUGCCUACUGUGCAGGAUUAUUCAACAAGCCGAUUGAUCACAUUCUUCAGCUCUAGCAGGGCAAAAGCGUCACUCAAAAAGAACAUUACAGAUUUUUUUUGAAAGAAACUUCGGGGUAAAUUUAAUUUAAAAUACUGAUUUUUGAUAACAUUUGAUCUUAUGACAGCAUUUAUUUUUAAUUACAGAUAGGGUUACACUAAAAGUCAUUUCUGACCUGCUUCAUUACCCUUAUGGCUCCAAAAUAAACUGUUAGGCCCUGAAGCAAAGGCGAACCCUGUUCUAGAGCAAUGUCUUUCUUGUAUUAAAAAACGGCCUCAUGCUCACAUAUGGGCUGUUUUGUGUUUUGCUUUUGUGUUGUUGCACAAAGGAAUCCUUAAUAUGUCUGUCCUCAAAGACCAAAGACAAGUAUCUAGUAAAAAAUGCAAAUCAUAUCUAACAGUGAAGCUUUCCAGCAAAAACCUUCUGCUCUCGAAUGCAUAAUUAUGCCAGCAUAAGAUCUACUACUGCAGACUUUUAGCAUAAUUACCUAUAGGCAGCAAAACCCUAGUCGAUUGAGUGUCUGGUUCCUCUCAGACCUGGACUUCUCAAAGAGAAUGGGCAAGGAGGACAAAAAGGAAGAGACAACUAUGCUUUGUGGAACAAGAGAUGACUUUAAAAAUAAUUCUCUAGCAGUCUUCCUAAUUCCUGUCACAGACUUGAUGUGCUUAUCUGCUGUUGAGGCCACGGUUACCAGUUUCUAACCUUCUCUGUCUGAAAAACUAGAAAUUAGAUGCUCAUAUGGCCUAGAGCCAGAAGUGCAGGAGGCAGAAAGUCAGGGGCCAGGUUUUUUGGUUUGUUUCUGAAUAAGGCGGCCAAAUCCUGACUUAAAAUAAUCAGAAUAAAUGUUACAGAGUGAUGGUCUUUCCAGCUGAAAGCCUUAAAACAUGGCAUCUGGAAGAAGGCCUUAGUCUAUUGCUCCCAGGGUGGUACUAGAUAGUCAUUAAACAGCCCACAGAUAAGGGAGUUACUGCUCCCUGGUUAUUGGGCUGCCAGGAAUUAAAUGAUGGAACUAAGUUUCACUUGAAACAUUCCCAAAUUAAAACAAAAACAAGCCUGGCUUUGAGCUGUUGAAAAGGCAUUUUACUGAGAGAUCCAGAUGCUGUUGCUGUUCUUAAAUGAUGUUGAAAGGCAAAGGGUCAGGACUUUCAAAAAGUCACUUUGAGGUUACCUCACGUAAGCAACAGCCUGAACUGAUGCAAAAAUAAACAGAAUGAAAUUUUGAACAGGAGAAAGAAACUAAACUGAGGGCAGUGUAUGCCAUAAAUAUGGAAGAGGCUGUCUCUUAUUUAUCUUCUCAUUUCCUGUACAUAAUACAGAAACCUGGUAUGUAAUAGGCAUACAAUUAUUUGUAGCCCAACUGAAUAAAUAAGGAAGGAAACCAACAAGCAGUGGGCAGAUAAUAUACUUGGGAAAGCAGAACUGCAGAGAAGCUGGGUGGCUCAAGGCCUCUGCAUGAUCCUUAAAUGUCACUCCAAUCGGCUGUGACGUAGCUGUACCACUCAUCCGAAUACCCCAGAACAAAUUGUCUGCCUCCCUCAUGUACAACUUUUAUCAUUUCUUAUCUUGAAUGGUUAUGUAGUAGUGGCUGGGUGCGGUGACUCACGCCUGUAAUCCCAGCACUUUGGGAGGCUGAGGCAGGCGGAUCACCUGAGGUCAGGAGUUCGAGACCAGCCUCAACGUGGAGAAACCCCGUCUCUACUAAAAAUACAAAAUUAUCCGGGCAUGGUGGUGCAUGUCUGUAAUUCCAGCUACUCGGGAGGCUGAGGCAGGUGAAUUGCUUGAACCUGGGAGGCAGAGGUAGCGGUGAGCCGAGAUUGCACCAUUGCACUCCAGCCUGGGCAACAAGAGCGAAAUUCCGUCUCAAAAAAAAAAAAAAA